GGAGCGGCCCUCAGGCCCCGGGAUCGUUCGGGCCGCCGGCCUGGUCCACAGCUCUUCUCACGGAGCCUUACUGCGGGCGGCGCCGCGAAGGCCCUGCCGCGAGCCGGCGAAGGUCCAGCCUGGCCGCUGCGCUCCUCACUUAAGGCCAUGAGCUCUCCCUUCCUCCUCAGCCCCCUGCUGCCGCGAUGCUCCCCUUGCUGCGGCCCAUGGUCUCGUAGUCUCCAAAGUCGUAAAUUCAGGCAUCCGGCUCUUGGAAGGUCAUCUCGUAUUUACGGCUGCUGCUUUCUGGGCUCCCCAGUUCAGUGAUUUUCUGCCUUCAGCACUCCCCUUGGUUAUCAUUACCCAAUCAUCUUUGCUAACAUGGGGAGGAUGCAGAGUCACAAGGCCGUACUCAGUCCCUCAGGAAUGGACUGGGAUCAUCAGUACCACGAAGUUUCUCAGGGCCUGGCAAAGCCUCCCCAGAUUGGCUGGGCCCAUCAGUUGGAUACUUGAGAGAAUGCUCUGUCGCUGGAAACAUUCCCAGGGCCCGUGACCACGCCCUCUGCCAUCCGGUUCCUUGGCGGGAGCCAGCUGAGGGUGGACUGGAACCCUGGGCUGAAACAGAUCCCUCAGUGCUGCAGCCAGUGACGGGCGCGGUGACGGAGACAGCUCCCAUGCAGCCCCCAUGCAGGGAGGCCCAGCCGGGAGCCGCCUCUCUGCAGACAGAAGACCCCACCCUGGGUGCAAAGCCACGCCCGGUGCUACACGGGUGGCUCCACCUCUUCCUGCAAAGGGCGCCCGGAAGGAGGAUUGGGAAGCGCCCGGGAAGGGAGAGGCCAGGCGGGCAGCUGUAGUCCGGGCAGGCCCGGAGUGGCAUCGUGCGGAGGGCGGAGCACAGCCUCCCUCAGAGGCAAAGGCUGCGUCCCUGAGCGCCUGGCACGGCCCUGUGACCUGGGAGCGCCCCGGACUGCGGGACUUUGAUCACCUUGGUUUUGUCUUCUUUUAAUGAAGCAAUUCUAGUUGUAAAAUGGUGUUAUGGUUUCAGUUCUCAAUUUUUAGCCAGGGUUUGUUUUUUCUUUAAAACCCUCUCAAGCAACGUUUUAAUGACGGCGUCUUACAGAGUUGAAAUAUAAAAGGGUUUAGCCUCGAUGCCGGCAGAUGCAAGUACCUGUGGUCGUGGAAGGGAGGCGAGCGACACCGGACCCAGGAGAAACCGCUUCUUGCUCACACUCGCGUUUCACAGAGUGCACACCGCAAGGGCGCGUGGCGAUCCAGCUGUGGAACAGCAGCAGGAUACGGAAGAGUGAGACUGGGAAUUGAACCUCGGGCGUUUCGGGGAGGCCUCGAGUCUGCCCUCUGGUGUUUUGCUCUUGACGCUGGGUCGAUUUGGGCCCCUCUCGAGUGCGGCCUCCUGGGAGGGAGCUACGGGACAGGCGGCGGGACUGGGGAGCGAGCGGAGGCGGCAGACACAGGCGCUGGAGCUCGGCCACCAGGUCGGGGUCACGUUUACCCUCCCCGCCCGUCCGCCCUUCCCGAGUCCACCAAGCCACCUCCCGGCUGCCCCCGCCUCUUUAUUUUGCUCUUCAAAUUAUUUGUAGUCUGUGUCUGUCCACUAAGAGGUCCAGGCAGCACUUCCCCUUCUCUGGCUUAUUUCCGAGCUGGCGGGGCGGACUGUCUCGCGGAGGAAAAUGGGCCUCUGGUCUUUGGGGCUGCAGACCCAGGCUGUCCCGAUGUCCAGGGUGCGUCCGGGGGGGGGAGCAGGCAGGGCCGAGGGGCCGCCCGGCCCCGGCCUUCCUCAGCGUGGAGGCCGGAACAGGGCCGUUCAUGCCAUGCCUUGGUCGACUGAGACAUGGAACUUGGGUCUCUCUCCAGAGGCACAGCAAGCAUCGGCUUAGAACUUCCCCACAAGCAGUCUACAGACCCGGUCACUGCAGCGUGGAUACCAGAAGCCCUUGGUAAAGAUGAUUUAAGCUGGCCGGGCGUGUUGGCGCACGCCUGUAAUCUCAGCACUUGGGGAGGCUGAAGCAGGAAGAUCACAAGUUCAAGCCCAGCCCGGGCAAUUUAGUGUGAGAUCCUGGAUCAAAAUUAAAACCAGGCUGAGAUAUAGCUCAGUGGCACCGUGCCUGCCUGGAAAACGUCCUGAGUUUGAUCCCCGGUACCACCAAAACAAACAAACAAACUACCCCCCACCCCCAACCCUGGAAUGGAUCUCGGCCUGAAAGCCCUGAGUUCACUCCCCAGUAGAGCAGAGCAAUGAGCUGGGUGUGGUGGCACAUACACAUCUGUAAGACCACUAACCUGGAGGGCUGAGGCAGGAAGAUCGGAAGUUCAAGCCCAGAGUGAUCGAUUUAGGGACCUAGUGAGACCCUGUCAAAAAGAAAAAAAAAAAAUGGAGAGAAUAAUUUGGCCUGGCCAGUAGAUGGCGCCUGAGGCUUAUGAUAAUUUUCAAAACAGGGUUAGAAAUACUUUUGUUACAGCUAAUGAUUGUAAUUUAGCAUAGUAACAACAGCAAUGGCAGAGACCACCAGUUCCUUUCAAGAUGUUUGGCUCAAAAAUAAACAAAUGGAAGAGGGGGUCAGCUCUUAGAACAGCGAGCAGGAAACGCAAGUUGACUUAAAUGCAGAGAAAGAGGGUGACCCAUCAGGAGGUGACGGGAGCAGAAGGGAGGGCAACGAGGAAUCGUUGGAGCAGAGCAGCAAAAAGUCAAAUCAAAUCAAAUCAAAUCAGUCUCUCCAAAGGAUCGGGGACAGGGACAGGAGUGAGUUAGAGAGGGCCAGGGAGUAAAAGUCAAGUCCUUUUUCAGUUCUUACAGCUGCAACCGAAAUGUGAACCAGACACCAUGGGGCUCCGCAGAGAAGGUGGCAGGGAAAGGUCCAGGAAGCAGAUGCAAGGGCUGGAGGUGUGCACAGAUGCAGCCACUGUAGGGCAUGGAGGCAGGGUGGGCUGGUCCUAGAGGUCAGGGAGGACACAGGGCCAGUCCCAGCUGUAGGAGCCAGUGUGCAGAUGGGGACAGCUCUAAAGGAGAGGAAUCCGUAGCCUCAACACAGAGGGUGGAAUCAGCUUCUUCCUGCAUGGCUGAAGGCGCGUGGAUGAGGAAGUAGAUUCCCGGGCCUGCGCUCCUGAUGAAAGGACCCAGAGGAGGCAGGAGGCACAGAGGGCUCAGGGCCCCUAGCAGAGCUGCCCUGGAGGUUCUGUAACCGGAUACAGGGUAGGUUUUUAAACCAUGAUCUUAAAAAAGGAAAUCUUGCCUCUUGGGCCCCUCCGACCACCCUUUGAGUUUCCGUGUGGUCAUCAGCCUGUGGGUGCCCUGAGGAAGGACCCUGCCAUGGGUUACUUGUGUGGUACCUUCGCUCCUUAGUGUCCCAGCGUCUGAGCAGCCUGUUCAGGCUCCCUUUGGCCUCGUCAGCUGGAACCUCAGAGCCUGCACCGUCUCCGGAGAGGCCUCAAGCCAAGGGCUGUCUCCCGCUGUUGCAUCCCUGGUCAUUCAUCUACUUGGGGCUGAUUUAUGUACGUGUAUGUGUCCCCCUCAUGCCCAGCUGCUACAGUCUAACUUUCCACCUAUUAGAGGAGGGCAGAAGUUUGAGAACAAUGCAGGUCUGAAGUGUUUCCUGGAGGGUGUGGGGCAGUGUUAGACUCUAAGCUAGAGCUAGCCCGAGGGAGGCGUUCCACUAGCAGCAAGAAAAAGUGUGAAGAGAUACACAGUGGAUGGGAAGGAAGCAACGACAUGACAAUGUGCCUGGGUCUUAAGAUUAUUAGCUGAGUGAGGAAAACCUUUACAGAAGGAUGCACAGCAUAGCAUUUCAUUUAUAGAACACUGUGCAGCGGAGUAACCUGGAGGAAUACAGACUAGAGGCUGGUGCCUGACGUUGGGAAUGGAGAGAGAUGGAUCGAACAGGGUGCAGGAGAGGUCUGGGGUGAUGUCCUCAACGGCUCUCAUCUGGAUGAUUUGUUGUAUAUCUCUGUCAAAACACAUUAAAUCAUAUGCUUAAAUCUGUGCAGCUAUUACAUGCAGAUAGUAAGGUUGUAGGGAAUAGAAUUGCUGUAAUGUACAGUUGCAACAAAAUUGGAACAUUGAACUAACUUUCAAAUGGUGCCAUAUGUGAUAGAAAACAAGGUACUACAGCCGGUCGGAUCUGGAGUGAGCCUGGAGGUGUUGGAGGCUUUGCCCCCACUGGCACUGCUGGGAGGUGUGUGACCUUUAGGAGGCGGAGCCUGGGGGACGUCUUCCGGUGCUGAGGAGUACCCUGGAUGGCUCCCUUCCUUUAUUCUCUUUUCACUGUCUGGUCAGGAAGUGAGCAGCUUCGCUCUGCCGUCCACUCCCCACCGUGGUGUGCUGCUUCGUCACAGGCCCCCAAAGCAGCAGGUCCAACUGACCAAGGACUGAACUCUCCAAAACUGAGAGCCGAAGCCAAACCUUCUUAUUUUAAGUUAUUCAUCCUAGGUAUUCUGUCACAGUGAUAGAAGCCUAUCACAACCCCUAAGUAUACAACAGAGAGACUCUUAAAUGUAUACCAUGAGAUAUAUUUAGGACAGUUGUUGUAGAAUUAUUUGUAGUAGGAAUAAAAUAGUAAUAUCUAAAUAUUUUCCUAAAUGCAUUUUCUGUCCAUUCCCUACCCAUUUUUCUACUGAGUGGUUCUUUUUAAAUCUAGGAAUGCUUUAUUAUACAUUGAGGUAAUAGAUUUAGAUAGUAUAUCAAUAGAAAGGAGAGCUACGAAUUCAUCAAAAAGAAAUUAACACUGCAUGUAUGAAUAUGAAUAAAUCUCAUAAAGUACAGAAAAGUAUUUAGUAUGAUAUUGGGUAAAGUUUAAAAACAUGCAAUAGUAAAACAUUUUUUAGGGAUUCAUAUGCUUAUCUUAAAAGUAUGAAAAAAAGGCCUCGAGAUGAGAAAUAACAAAUUUGGUAUUUUUCUCUGAGGUAAAAGGAAGUUGAUAUAAUUGGAAAAAUUACCCAGGGGUUUGCGUUACAUUGUCCUAGUCACGGCCUAUUUCUGAUGCUAAGUGUGAGGGCACAGGUUUCUCCUUUUAUUCUUUAUACCUUAUUUGUAUGUGUUAAAUAAUUAUAAGUAGUUCUAUCUCAGAAAUACAUACACAUUUUUCCUUUUACCAAUUGCUCUGAUGUCCCAUCUCCUCUCUCGUGGCUCAUAGCCUCCCUCUGGCUGUAGCUCCCUGCAACCACGGUUAUUUCAUAGUGUGGGCUGGGCAGACUCACCCUGCCUGUUCUUGUGCCCCGUGAUGGGAAUGUCCACUCACAGGCCCUCUCUCCUCCCAGGGAAGGGGACAUCGGAGAAGCCACUGAAGGCCCAUCUUCCACAUCGCUGGCCUGGUCUGGCUGCUGUAGCAGCUCCAGGCUGUGCGACGGUGGGGUUGCAGUAGUGUUUACUUUUGUUUUAGACAAUGGGAAUUUAAAAGGAGGGUGAUAUGGAGAAAUACUUAAAGGAGUAUGAAAAUAAUGUGCUUAUUUUCAUUACAUUUAAUUUGAUAAUAAUCAGUUGACUUUGCUUGAGCCCUUAACCUAAGUUUUUGGAACAAGUUAAGUCAGUUCGAGCUCACUUUUUUCCACAGUGAUAAUAGACAAUUAGUGCCCAUCACUCUUUACGUAUUGUUCUUUCCUGUGCUGAAGUUGCUUACUAAAUGUUUCCCACUUCUUUCUACUUUGAACUAAACAGUUCUUAAGUGUAUUUCCACUGCUUGCCUAUUAUUGAGCAUACAUCAUCCACCCUGUGUGCCUUAAUCUCCCCAGGCAUCAUGUUUUAUGAUGCAGGGCAUGCACACAGCCUUGUGUUUCACUGAGGUCAUCCUAAUUUCUCUUUCUUUUCCAAACUACCACAAUAUAGCACUUGUUGCAUUUUAAAACUUGAGCUGGCUACUGGGAAUACAACUGGUGGCAUGUGUAUUACAUGUGCAGAGCAAGCACAGUUUAUCACAGGAGAAGCUGGUCUGGCCCCAGUGUUUGGUCGCUGGUUUCCUUGAUGACUCACCCAUAAUCCUGCUGUCAGCCUAAGUCAGUCUCCUGGCAUCAGUACAGAAUCUGUUAUGAGGUUUUCAUCCUACAGCCCUUGAGAGGAAAAUACUAGGCUGAUAACAGAGCAAUUUUUUUCUUGAAUUGUAUAACUUUUCUCUCUUCUGGAAAUGAGUGAUAUUAUUUACACAACUUGGGAAAAUACAUCCUGGGAACUUUGAUGUUUGAAAAGUGGUGUGAAAAUUCAUUCAUAUUUUAAAAAUUGAGUCUGAGUAAAUAGGAGAAAAUUGAGAAGGAAACACCCAGAGUGUUGGCAGGAGUAAGAAAUUUGUGGAAAUAGGAUUGUAGAAAUGGAGACCUCGAAUAUAUCUACACUAUAUAAUAUUUAAACAUGUGAUCUAAGAAUAUUUUGGGUAAUUUUUCCUAUUUAAUCAUUUUCAAAAUGAUGUUUAAGAAAAUAUGGCUUGUGUCUAGAUGUCCCCCACAAAAGCCUCAUAUGCUCAUAGGUGGAGCUUUUCAGAGCUGGCUGGAACUAGGGUGUGUGCUACUGGGAUUAAAGGUGCAAUAAUUGGAUUAAUCCACUGAUUAGUGUUGUUCUGGGUGUAGGUGAUGGGAAGCCCCACCCUUGGCAUGGGUGGCACCAAUCAAUAGGCUUGUAGCCCAGAUGAAAUGUGAAGAGAAAGAGGGAAGGCAGGCUUGUUGCUUUCUGCCUGCCCUGCCAGGGACUAUUUCUCCUCUGCCUUCCACCCUGCCUUGGAGGCAGCUGACUGUGGACUGACAUCUCUACAAACUGUGAG
Long non-coding RNA from Heterocephalus glaber (naked mole-rat), 6734 nucleotides. The record is from Ensembl. Lineage: Eukaryota; Metazoa; Chordata; Mammalia; Rodentia; Bathyergidae.